This 1146-nucleotide long non-coding RNA is filed under the name Oryctolagus cuniculus (rabbit). RNAcentral's name for it is "lncRNA (ENSOCUG00000036312.1)". Lineage: Eukaryota; Metazoa; Chordata; Mammalia; Lagomorpha; Leporidae. The record is from RNAcentral.
CCAAGGGCUGGUGCGAGGGGGUGCACAUGCUGGGGCUCUGGACGCACGCAGCAAACGGGUGAGGGAGGCGCCCGCCCCCGCUCCAGGCACCCUGAGCUGGGAAAUGAGCCUCAGCAGUUCGUUUUGCUAUGGUGUAGCAGCUUGGUUAAGUUGAGGCGAGCUGGCGCGCUUGUGCGUUCAGCACGAUGUGGUCUAUUUAACGGGAGAAGCCCUACAGCCGCCUUCCCAGGAUGCCCCUGGGGCCACGCUCAUAUCACACCUCACUGCCCAGCCAGUGGGGCUCUGCAUCUUCCCUGUAAACAGAGUGGAGGGCGAGACUGCUGUCGGCGGCGUGGACCUCGACUGCAGGUACGGCUGGGUGGAGGGGCGCGGUGUGGGGUGUGUGUGUGUGUGUGUGUGUGUGAGUGUGUAUGGCUGGGUGGAGGGGCAUGCUGUGUGUGUGUGUGUGAACGGCUGGGUGGAGGGGCGUGGUGUGUGUGUGUAGGUACAGCUGGGUGGAGGGGCGUGGUGUGUGUGUGUAGGUACAGCUGGGUGGAGGGACACGGUGUGGUGUGUGUGUGUGUGUGUACAGCUGGGUGGAGGGGCACGGUGUGGUGUGUGUGUGUGUGUGUACAGCUGGGUGGAGGGACACGGUGUGGUGUGGUGUGUGUGUGUGUACAGCUGGGUGGAGGGGCACGGUGUGGUGUGUGUGUGUGUGUGUACAGCUGGGUGGAGGGACACGGUGUGGUGUGUGUGUGUGUGUGCACAGCUGGGUGGAGGGGCACGGUGUGGUGUGUGUAUGUGUGUGGGUACAGCUGGGUGGAGGGGCACAGGGUGAUGGGUGUGUGUGUGUGUACAGCUGGGUGGAGGGGCACGAUGUGGUGUGUGUGUGCGUGUGUGUAUGGUGGGGUGGAGGGGCGUAGUGUGGUGUGGUGUGGUGUGUGUGUGUGUGUGUACAGCUGGGUGGAGGGGCGCGGGGUGGUGUGUGUGUGUGUGUGUACAGCUGGGUGGAGGGGCACGGUGUGGUGUGUGUGUGUGUACAGCUGGGUGGAGAGGCACGGUGUGGUGUGGUGUGUGUGUGGGUACAGCGGGGUGGAGGGGCACGAUGUGAUGUUUGUGUGUAGGUACAGUUGGGUGGAGGGGCGCGGGGUGGUGUGUGUGUGUAUA